GCCCCCAUCGUCCAGCGGCCUAGGACGCCGGCCUUUCACGCCGGUAACACGGGUUCGAAUCCCGUUGGGGGUAC
This 74-nucleotide transfer RNA is filed under the name Acidimicrobiaceae bacterium. Its description in RNAcentral is "tRNA-Glu". It matches the Rfam family "tRNA". Rfam says of the family: Transfer RNA (tRNA) molecules are approximately 80 nucleotides in length. Their secondary structure includes four short double-helical elements and three loops (D, anti-codon, and T loops). RNAcentral also lists the same sequence under 1 other name. Lineage: Bacteria; Bacillati; Actinomycetota; Acidimicrobiia; Acidimicrobiales; Acidimicrobiaceae. The record is from RNAcentral.